CACCUGUCCAAUAAAAUAAAGAUUAAACAAUAAUUUUUAGUAUUUUUUUAAUACUUAUUUCAUUUAAGAUUAAAAAUUAUGGAUCGGAGAAAUUUUGUUGAUACUUAUGUCAUAUCAAUCUAGAUUCUAGUGCCGGGCCUCAAAAGUCGCGAAAGGUAUACGUAGAAGGUGGGGAUUAACCACUCCUAAUCUUAAAAAAUGAUAUUUUUAUCGUAUGGCUCAUACACAUCAUCUCUUAGAUA
Molecule: long non-coding RNA, 242 nt
Filed under: Elaeis guineensis (African oil palm)
Lineage: Eukaryota; Viridiplantae; Streptophyta; Magnoliopsida; Arecales; Arecaceae
Description: long non-coding RNA (EGUI_LNC023914)
Source: RNAcentral